Molecule: long non-coding RNA, 235 nt
Filed under: Homo sapiens (human)
Lineage: Eukaryota; Metazoa; Chordata; Mammalia; Primates; Hominidae
Description: HSALNT0367085
Source: RNAcentral
CAGGCAUCCAGGCUCUACCUACAGUGCAUAGUGGGGAGAAGAUAUAGGAACUACUACAAUACAAUGUAAUAAUUCCAUAAUGAAGCAAUGAGGAAGUAAGUGUAAAAAUCACUUUUUACCACCAUGAAGCAUGAACCAGCCAAGAAGUAAAGCCAAAAUAGAAGGAGGCAGAGUGAGGAAAAGGAGAGCAAGUCCUAGUUCAGCUGCACCUAAGUCAGUACAAGCAAUGAGCUUU